Long non-coding RNA from Pteropus alecto (black flying fox), 266 nucleotides. RefSeq lists it as uncharacterized. Lineage: Eukaryota; Metazoa; Chordata; Mammalia; Chiroptera; Pteropodidae. The record is from RefSeq and is a predicted model, not a curated record. The transcript has 2 exons.
GCCGGCCAGCUGAACUAUGUGGACCCAGCCACUGGCUACGUGGUGCUCACCCAGGUCGCUCACUUACAGAGAGGAAGAUGCUGCGGCUCUGCCUGCAGACACUGUCCAUAUGGUCAAGUCAACGUUAAAGACCCAUCUAAAAGAAAGCGAUUCAAUUCCUAUUUUUACAUUUGACAACAGUUUCAUCUCUGUUCUCCAUCUAAUUAAACCUUAUUUUAACUACAUUAAAAGAACAUCAAGAAAGUAAAAAAAAAAAAAAAAAAAAA